AGGAAAAGAAACCUAACAAGGAUUUCCCCUAGUAACUGCGAGUGAAGCGGGAAAAGCUCAAAUUUAAAAUCUGGCAGUCUUUGAUUGUCCGAGUUGUAAUCUAGAGAAGUGUUAUCCGCGUUGGACCGUGUACAAGUCUCCUGGAAUGGAGCGUCAUAGAGGGUGAGAAUCCCGUCUUUGACACGGACUACCAGUGCUUUGUGAUGCGCUCUCAAAGAGUCGAGUUGUUUGGGAAUGCAGCUCAAAAUGGGUGGUAAAUUCCAUCUAAAGCUAAAUAUUGGCGAGAGACCGAUAGCGAACAAGUACCGUGAGGGAAAGAUGAAAAGAACUUUGGAAAGAGAGUUAAACAGUACGUGAAAUUGCUGAAAGGGAAACGCUUGAAGUCAGUCGCGUUGUCCGGGGAUCAACCUUGCUUUUGCUGGGUGUACUUUCCGGUUGACGGGUCAGCAUCAAUUUUGACCGUUGGAUAAAGUGUAGGGGAAUGUGGCAUCUUCGGAUGUGUUAUAGCCUCUGCUCGCAUACAACGGUUGGGAUUGAGGAACUCAGUACGCCGCAAGGCCGGGAAUUUAUUCCACGUUCGUACUUAGGAUGCUGGCAUAAUGGCUUUAAUCGACCCGUCUUGAAACACGGACCAAGGAGUCUAACAUGCCUGCGAGUGUUUGGGUGGAAAACCCGAGCGCGUAAUGAAAGUGAAAGUUGAGAUCCCUGUCGUGGGGAGCAUCGACGCCCGGACCAGACCUUUUGUGACGGAUCUGCGGUAGAGCAUGUAUGUUGGGACCCGAAAGAUGGUGAACUAUGCCUGAAUAGGGUGAAGCCAGAGGAAACUCUGGUGGAGGCUCGUAGCGAUUCUGACGUGCAAAUCGAUCGUCAAAUUUGGGUAUAGGGGCGAAAGACUAAUCGAAACCAUCUAGUAGCUGGGUUCCUGCCGAAGU
RNAcentral lists this ribosomal RNA (932 nucleotides) under Psilocybe inquilina. Its description in RNAcentral is "LSU rRNA". It matches the Rfam family "Eukaryotic large subunit ribosomal RNA", at positions 54 to 967 of the family's 3401-position model. The record is from RNAcentral. Lineage: Eukaryota; Fungi; Basidiomycota; Agaricomycetes; Agaricales; Agrocybaceae.